RNAcentral lists this ribosomal RNA (229 nucleotides) under uncultured bacterium. RNAcentral describes it as "partial 16S ribosomal RNA". It matches the Rfam family "Bacterial small subunit ribosomal RNA", at positions 568 to 796 of the family's 1533-position model. The record is from RNAcentral.
UAUGUAGGUGGUUAAGUAAGUCGAGCGUGAAAUCCAUUGGCUCAACCAAUGAAUUGCACUCGAAACUGCAUAACUUGAGUUCAGGAGAGGAAAGCGGAAUUCCCGGUGUAAGAGUGAAAUCUGUAGAGAUCGGGAGGAACACCAGUGGCGAAGGCGGCUUUCUGGACUGAUACUGACACUGAAAUACGAAAGCUAGGGGAGCAAACAGGAUUAGAUACCCUGGUAGUCC